GAUGAACGCUGGCGGCGUGCCUAAUACAUGCAAGUCGAGCGAACAGACGAGGAGCUUGCUCCUCUGACGUUAGCGGCGGACGGGUGAGUAACACGUGGAUAACCUACCUAUAAGACUGGGAUAACUUCGGGAAACCGGAGCUAAUACCGGAUAAUAUAUUGAACGGCAUGGUUCAAUAGUGAAAGACGGUUUUGCUGUCACUUAUAGAUGGAUCCGCGCCGCAUUAGCUAGUUGGUAAGGUAACGGCUUACCAAGGCAACGAUGCGUAGCCGACCUGAGAGGGUGAUCAGCCACACUGGAACUGAGACACGGUCCAGACUCCUACGGGAGGCAGCAGUAGGGAAUCUUCCGCAAUGGGCGAAAGCCUGACGGAGCAACGCCGCGUGAGUGAUGAAGGUCUUCGGAUCGUAAAACUCUGUUAUUAGGGAAGAACAAAUGUGUAAGUAACUAUGCACGUCUUGACGGUACCUAAACAGAAAGCCACGGCUAACUACGUG
Molecule: ribosomal RNA, 497 nt
Filed under: uncultured bacterium
Lineage: Bacteria
Description: partial 16S ribosomal RNA
Rfam family: Bacterial small subunit ribosomal RNA
Source: RNAcentral